CCAAUCACAAAUGUGGUUCUCACCAACAGGUCGUUCAACCGAUGCCAUGAAUAUGAAGGCCACUUCGGGAACUGAUUAGGUGGGCUGUGUUCCCAUAUUGACAGGCCCAGAUUAUUCACGGUGAUCUAAGAGAACAGAAUUUAGCUCUCAGAAGGAACUGAGAAAGUCAUGCAAUCCUUAUUGACCCUUUACACUUCCAUCCAAUCAUGUAUGUGAUCUAGUGUCUUCACCUUCUCCUUCAGCCAAUACUGACUGAUCCUUUCUCAUAGCUUCUGUAUGAGUCAGGGUUCUCCAGAGGAAGAUAAUCAACAGGAAGUAUGACUAUAAAAAGGGGACUCACGAGAUUGGCUUACCCAACCAGAAGCUAGAUAGUCCACAAUGGCCGUCUGCAGGCUGGGGAGCUGGAGGAACCAGCAGCUGCUCCAUCCAAGAGGCUGAAGCCCCAGAACAAGAGAGAUCCAUGAUGCUACCCCAGUGUGAGACCCAAGGCUUCUGGAAACUCCCUGGAGAAUCCCUGGCAGAGUCCCAUUUGGAAGAGUGAAGGAGAGAGGCGAUCCAAGCAGCCAUCAAGAACCCAUUCAAGAACAAUGGAGCGUGCAUCUGAUGUUUGCCUAAUUGUUCUUCCAAAUUUUAUUCCAUCCAAGCCACCAUCCUAUUGGAUGGCACUGCCUAUUCUCAGGGAGGGUCUCCACUUCAGUUUGCUGUCCCACAGGACAGUCAUUCCUAGACACACUCUCAUUGACACACCCCGAAGCCUCUGAAUCUUAAACAUCUCAAGCAUCUCUUAAUCCAAACAAGUUGAGGAUUCAAGUUAAUACUGCUUAAGGAAGACAUGGGAAAUGUGGAUCUCCACCCCCUCCUGCCCCUUGCUAAAUAGAUAGUCUCUGGCCCCAGUGAAUCCCAUUUUCUAAACCGUUGAUUUUACAGUGAUUCCUAAGGGAUUUCUUCUGCACUGAGCCAUUUCUCUGACUCACCACUCUCUCAGCAGUGUAAAAAAAAAAGUCCUGGCUUGGAUACAGACCCUAUAACCCUAUUUUUUUUUUUUCAGAUUGACCUUUCCAGUUGCAAAGAGAACUGCUAGGGGAGCCAGAUGUCUGAUGCUUUUUAACUAGAUGGUCCUUGUAGAUGGUGUCUAGAAACAUGUUCUCUACAUUUUGCUGGUUCCCAGAAUGUUGUGAUCAUCAGAGCUUUUAGAGACAUGUGGAAAAGACACUCAGCCAGUCAGUAUCAUCUGGGGGACACAUGAGAGCAUGCACUCUGGUCGCCCCAUGCUCUUGGUCUCCAUUCAGCCUCCUUUACGCCCAGGACUUUGCUUUUGGAAAUCCACAUUCUCCUCCUUUUUUUUUUUUUAUUUUGUACUGGGGAUUGAACUCAGGCGUACUCUACCACUGAGCCACAUCCCCAGCCCUAUUUUGUAUUUUAUUUAGAGACAGGGUCUCACUGAGUUGCUUAGGGCCUCACUAAGUUUUGCUGAGGCUGGCUUUGAACUCAGGAUCCUCCUGCCUCAGCCUCCUGAGCCUCUGAGAUUAAAGGUAUGUGCCACCACACCCACUUGGAACCCACAUUCUCUACACAUGCCUGUCGACAGACAUGGCACUACUGUACUUUUUAUCACUUAUUUGCUCAAAUUGAACAGGGUACACACCAUCUCUGGCCCUCCUCUGCUCAGCACUCUGACAGAUACUGUGCGUUCUCAGCCAAAGCAAAAUAAAAUUGUGCACAUUAAGCAAAGUCUGAUGCUCAGGAGGACACCGGUGUGUCCGUGCAAUGCUCCUUGAGGACCUCAUGUCUCAAGUUUGAUGUCACCGAGAGAGAUCUUUUCACUGGCUUCAUUCCAAAGAAGUGGCCCCGGUUUUUAUUGAUUAGCAAUGUGAAGAUGUGCGUGUCUUUUUACAAGAGCACCUUGUUUGAAUCAUAUUUAGACACAGGCUAAAAGUAACCAGGCUCCAGCUAGGGUGGUGGCCUUGCUUGAUUUCUUAGCGGCACCAGGAACACUCAUGCUAGGAGGCUUUGUUCUCUCUCCUCCCUCAGCACCUGGAUCUUUGUGUGUGUGUGGCAUGAGGGACUGAGCCCAGGGGC
This 2079-nucleotide long non-coding RNA is filed under the name Marmota monax (woodchuck). The record is from RNAcentral. Lineage: Eukaryota; Metazoa; Chordata; Mammalia; Rodentia; Sciuridae.